Small nucleolar RNA from Caenorhabditis elegans, 96 nucleotides. The record is from Ensembl. Lineage: Eukaryota; Metazoa; Nematoda; Chromadorea; Rhabditida; Rhabditidae.
AUUUGUAAAACCUAAUAAUUUUGAAAAACUUGGUCAAGGUUGAUUAUCUAAAAUGUCUAUAGAAAAUAGGUUAUACGCAAUGGAAUGUGUACUUUU